Molecule: ribosomal RNA, 124 nt
Filed under: Fusobacterium necrophorum
Lineage: Bacteria; Fusobacteriati; Fusobacteriota; Fusobacteriia; Fusobacteriales; Fusobacteriaceae
Description: 23S rRNA. Bacterial LSU
Rfam family: Bacterial large subunit ribosomal RNA
Source: RNAcentral
CGGGAAACUAGCUUCAAGAUAAGUAUUCUAAGAGGAAGCUUCGAGAACAGGAGCUGGAUAGGUUGGGGGUGUACGCGCAGUAAUGUGUUUAGCUGACCAAUACUAAUCGAACGAAAUUUUAAUC